Molecule: long non-coding RNA, 1340 nt
Organism: Oncorhynchus masou masou (cherry salmon)
Lineage: Eukaryota; Metazoa; Chordata; Actinopteri; Salmoniformes; Salmonidae
Exons: 3
Source: RefSeq, a predicted model, not a curated record
UCUGUGAUAGGGGGGAGGGGUGUUUCACACCUAGCUCGGCUAUUAGACUAUUCUUUAGUAAAAGGAUGAAUAGUCUAUUGUUCAAUUAUUUAGCCCCCCACCCCAAUUUGCAACAAAUUGUUGUUCCCAUCUCAUUCCUUUCCCUCUUUUACGCGUCAUCAUUCUGCUCCUGAGUGGCUCGCUUGCGGGCGUGCUAGCAGGAUAUGGCAGCAUCUUCGGUUGUGCGUCAAGAAUUCUACAUACAGUAGCACGUUUGUAUGAAGGUGUGGUUAUUCACAGGCAAAUUGUUAUAUGCUAUAGAGGUACAUUUGUGUAUUUUUGUCAAGAGCAAAAACUUUUAUUUUUUUCCAAUCACAAAUAAUUGUUAUGAAAGCAACUUUUCUCCGACACAAAGGAAGUCAAAGCAGACACUUACGAAGAUGGCAUCUCAGGUAAGCAUCUCUGGGCUGUAUUGACAUAUUCUAAAAUUGACAUCUGCUGCUUUAGAUUGAACAGUCAUAUCUCAGUUAUUGUUUUCAUAUCUAUAAAAAAAAUAAGCUGUUUUCUUUACUUUCAGAGAGUGAGAUGAUCAAGAGGUGGAAAAUGUAGACAUUGCCAGAUGUUCACUGUCUGAGGAACAGGCCGUGGAAGCUUUAUCGCUGGCCAAAGUGUCCAUAACUGCUCUGUGUUCUUUUUCUCCAUCUCUGCCUGUCUUGUUGUACAUGGAACCUCUCUCACGUGCAUUCAUUUAAAAAACCUUAAGAUGUAAAUCUGAAAAUUAGCAGCUGACACCACAUAAACACAGCCAUUUUCACUGGACUAUCUGUUGCUAUCUGUUGCUGCCAGGUCAUGAUUUCCCUGGGGGGUUAUCCUUGUAAUAACCAAGUGGUGAGACACAUAGCACUCUAUAUUUAAAUGUUUCAGGUACACUCAGAUAGGUGUCUGCGUCGCAUACAGUAUCUUCUAUUGACAUUAUCUUCUAUGGUUUGUCUUCAUGUCUGUUUUUCAGCAUAAAGUACUCUGUAGCCACUCAGUGUGGACACCAGGUUUUAUCAGCUGUUUUGGUGAACCCCUCCUUCAUCUGCACUGUCUGACACAGACGGCACAGCAUGAUCAUAGGUAUGUUUUGAUGUGCGAGAGAAAGCCAGUCCCAUCAUCGCCACCUCAUCUGCUCUUAAAAUAACCUUCGGGCCAACUGGGGGCCCAAGGCUGGUUAGGAGACACCGCAAUUGUGAUGAACUGAGAGAAUAUUAGGGUAGCACUGUAAUUCAUUAAUCAUAUGCUGUAUACCGCUGUUCUUAACUCUUUCCCUUUGUCUUCUACACCUCUCUCCCCACCUCGUCUUUCUUCCUCGUUUUAUA